UUGAAUGGCCUCAAUCAUCCCAUCAAGAAGAUUGCCGACUUCCAACCCUACUGCAACCUCAUUGAGCUAGUGUAUCAAGCUACCAAAGCAGAACGUCAAGUGCAAGAUGACUUCAAGUAUGCCAAGUACUCUUCCAAGAGAUACUGCUUCUCCAACAACCAAGCUUCAACAACUCCAACACCUUCUACCUCAACCAAGCCAUCUACAAGCAACGGCAACAAGUCAAGUUACAAGAAAACUUCAACAACCUCAAGUCGUCCUCCUACUAGAAGCAACUUCAAGUCGAGAGCUUCAUCAUCUACUCCAACUGAUGAGACUGUCAAGACAAGAUCCAUCAAGUGUUUCACAUGUGGCGGCCGAGGUCACAAGUCCUUUGAGUGUACCAACAAGCGCACCAUGAUCCUCAAUGAUGACGGAACAUAUGACUCCAUGAGUGAAGAGGAGAUGGAAGCCCUUGAGUAA
This 462-nucleotide ribosomal RNA is filed under the name Triticum aestivum (bread wheat). RNAcentral's name for it is "partial small subunit ribosomal RNA". Lineage: Eukaryota; Viridiplantae; Streptophyta; Magnoliopsida; Poales; Poaceae. The record is from RNAcentral.